UACGUAGGGGCCGAGCGUUGUCCGGAGUUAUUGGGCGUAAAGCGCGCGCAGGCGGCCUCGCGCGCCCGACGUGAAAGCCCCCGGCUUAACCGGGGAGGGUCGUUGGGGACGGCGGGGCUUGAGGGCGGGAUAGGUCGGUGGAAUUCCCGGUGUAGUGGUGAAAUGCGUAGAGAUCGGGAGGAACACCUGUGGCGAAGGCGGCCGACUGGGCCGACCCUGACGCUGAGGCGCGAAGGCGUGGGGAGCGAACGGG
RNAcentral lists this ribosomal RNA (253 nucleotides) under uncultured bacterium. RNAcentral describes it as "partial 16S ribosomal RNA". It matches the Rfam family "Bacterial small subunit ribosomal RNA", at positions 524 to 776 of the family's 1533-position model. The record is from RNAcentral.